RNAcentral lists this ribosomal RNA (286 nucleotides) under uncultured soil bacterium. Its description in RNAcentral is "partial 16S ribosomal RNA". It matches the Rfam family "Bacterial small subunit ribosomal RNA", at positions 26 to 313 of the family's 1533-position model. The record is from RNAcentral.
AGAUUGAACGCUGGCGGCAUGCCUUACACAUGCAAGUCGAACGGCAGCACGGACUUCGGUCUGGUGGCGAGUGGCGAACGGGUGAGUAAUAUAUCGGAACGUACCCUGGAGUGGGGGAUAACGCAGCGAAAGUUGCGCUAAUACCGCAUACGAUCUACGGAUGAAAGUGGGGGCUCGCAAGACCUCAUGCUCGUGGAGCGGCCGAUAUCUGAUUAGCUAGUUGGUAAGGGUAAAAGCCUACCAAGGCCUCGAUCAGUAGCUGGUCUGAGAGGACGACCAGCCACAC